This 460-nucleotide ribosomal RNA is filed under the name uncultured bacterium. Its description in RNAcentral is "partial 16S ribosomal RNA". It matches the Rfam family "Bacterial small subunit ribosomal RNA", at positions 338 to 795 of the family's 1533-position model. The record is from RNAcentral.
CCUACGGGUGGCUGCAGUGAGGAAUAUUGGUCAAUGGACGAGAGUCUGAACCAGCCACGUAGCGUGAAGGAUGACUGCCCUAUGGGUUGUAAACUUCUUUUAUAUGGGAAUAAAAUGUUCCACGUGUGGGAUUUUGUAUGUACCAUAUGAAUAAGGAUCGGCUAACUCCGUGCCAGCAGCCGCGGUAAUACGGAGGAUACGAGCGUUGUCCGGAUUUAUUGGGUGUAAAGGGAGCGUAGGUGGAUUGUUAAGUCAGUUGUGAAAGUGUGGGGCUCAACCGUAAAAUUGCAGUUGAAACUGGCAGUCUUGAGUACAGUAGAGGUGGGUGGAAUUCGUGGUGUAGCGGUGAAAUGCGUAGAUAUCAGGAAGAACGCCGAUGGCGAAGGCGGCUAACUGGAAUGCAACUGACACUGAGGAGCGAAAGUGUGGGUAUCAAACAGGAUUAGAUACCCGAGUAGUC